Molecule: transfer-messenger RNA, 355 nt
Filed under: Porphyrobacter sp.
Lineage: Bacteria; Pseudomonadati; Pseudomonadota; Alphaproteobacteria; Sphingomonadales; Erythrobacteraceae
Rfam family: Alphaproteobacteria transfer-messenger RNA
About the family: Bacterial tmRNA, also known as 10Sa RNA or SsrA, is named for its dual tRNA and mRNA-like properties. Its role is to liberate the mRNA from a stalled ribosome. To accomplish this part of the tmRNA is used as a reading frame that ends in a translation stop signal.
Source: RNAcentral
GGCCUUCACAUCGCGUCGCCGCCUCCCUAUAUCGCGCGGGCCGGCUUCGGCCGGCUAUGGCGAUAAAAUGCGGUGUGCAAUAGGCACAGCGGACCCGGGGGCAGUACCCGGCGGCUCCACCACAAAGCCCGUCCCGGCGAGAGGGGCGGGUUCUCUGACGGGGCCGAACCAGGAUCGACGUGUGUUGAAAGGCACUGUUUUCGCCCGGGCUGAGUAACCCGUUAAAGGCUCAAAACUCACAAGUGCCAACGACAACGAAGCACUCGCUCUCGCCGCGUAACUGACGGCCUCACGGCCUGACGUUACAAAGCUAUGAGCGCGGUUCGGACCGAACCGGGCAACAGAAUCGGAAACC